AUACGUAGGGGGCGAGCGUUGUCCGGAAUGAUUGGGCGUAAAGGGCGCGUAGGCGGCCUGUUAAGUCUGGAGUGAAAGUCCUGUUUUCAAGAUGGGAAUUGCUUUGGAUACUGAUGGGCUUGAGUGCAGGAGAGGUUAUCGGAAUUCCCGGUGUAGCGGUGAAAUGCGUAGAGAUCGGGAGGAACACCAGUGGCGAAGGCGGGUAACUGGACUGCAACUGACGCUGAGGCGCGAAAGUGUGGGGAGCAAACAGGAUUAGAUACCCUGGUAGUCCACACUGUAAACGAUGAAUGCUAGGUGUAGGGGGUAUCGACCCCUUCUGUGCCGCAGUCAACACAAUAAGCAUUCCGCCUGGGGAGUACGGCCGCAAGGUUGAAACUCAAAGGAAUUGACGGGG
RNAcentral lists this ribosomal RNA (397 nucleotides) under uncultured bacterium. Its description in RNAcentral is "partial 16S ribosomal RNA". It matches the Rfam family "Bacterial small subunit ribosomal RNA", at positions 523 to 918 of the family's 1533-position model. The record is from RNAcentral.